GCGCGCCCGUCAAAUCCCCAUUCUUCUUUACAUCCUGUAUGAUCUUGACGGUAUGGAAUGUUUAGAAGUAUGGAGGAGAGACGGGCGGCUCGUCGGGGGACGCGGGCUGGCGGCCAUGCUCGUGACUGUCGGCAUCUCGGGGCGUCCGCGGGCACGAGCCUGACCGGCGCGCCGGCGCAGAGCGGCCCCACCAGGCAGGGCUGCUGCUCUCAGCCGGGUGAGAGCAGCGGCUGACAGCGGACCAGCUGUUGCAGGGCGAGGUGUGCGCGGACGACAGGGAGCCCGCCCAGCACUCGCAGCCGCUCGGACCGCCGACCGUGCUGCCAUCUGUGGCACCUGGAGCGCCGCCGCCGGCCGGAAACACGCCGACAACAGCGACAUCUAGAAGAUCGGACUUUCAAGUGUCGAAACAAGCCGCUGGGUACGCAGGCAUCGCGGUAGUGCAAGUGACUUUAUGAGCGGCUAGCUUAAACCCACAGGCCACUUGUCUUUUCGCCUCUGCGAAAAUUGUACUGGCCUGUCUGAUCAAUCAGCCGCAUGGCUGAUAUCUGCGCUGUUGAACCGUCAGCACGUAAGCGACAACACUGCCUACCAUAUGCAUGCGAGCUUUGCUGACCACCAGCCGUCUGUACAUCCAAAUAUCGGCAGAAUAUACCCAUUUCAUCAAUGGCAA
Pollicipes pollicipes is the source of this 673-nucleotide long non-coding RNA. RefSeq lists it as uncharacterized. The transcript has 2 exons. The record is from RefSeq and is a predicted model, not a curated record. Lineage: Eukaryota; Metazoa; Arthropoda; Thecostraca; Pollicipedomorpha; Pollicipedidae.